AAUGAACGCUGGCGGCAGGCCUAACACAUGCAAGUCGAGCGAGCAUUUCGGUGCUAGCGGCGGACGGGUGAGUAACGCGUGGGAACGUGCCCUUUUCUGCGGAAUAGUCCUGGGAAACUGGGGGUAAUACCGCAUACGCCCUUUUGGGGAAAGAUUUAUCGGAGAAGGAUCGGCCCGCGUUGGAUUAGGUAGUUGGUGGGGUAAUGGCCCACCAAGCCGACGAUCCAUAGCUGGUUUGAGAGGAUGCUCAGCCACACUGGGGCUGAGACACGGCCCAGACUCCUACGGGAGGCAGCAGUGGGGAAUCUUAGACAAUGGGGGCAACCCUGAUCUAGCCAUGCCGCGUGAGUGAUGAAGGCCUUAGGGUUGUAAAGCUCUUUCAGCUGGGAAGAUAAUGACGGUACCAGCAGAAGAAGCCCCGGCUAACUCCGUG
Molecule: ribosomal RNA, 433 nt
Filed under: uncultured bacterium
Lineage: Bacteria
Description: partial 16S ribosomal RNA
Rfam family: Bacterial small subunit ribosomal RNA
Source: RNAcentral